GACGAACGCUGGCGGCGUGCUUAACACAUGCAAGUCGAACGAAGAGCGAUGGAAGCUUGCUUCUAUCAAUCUUAGUGGCGAACGGGUGAGUAACGCGUAAUCAACCUGCCCUUCAGAGGGGGACAACAGUUGGAAACGACUGCUAAUACCGCAUACGAUCCAAUCUCGGCAUCGAGGAUGGAUGAAAGGUGGCCUCUAUUUAUAAGCUAUCACUGAAGGAGGGGAUUGCGUCUGAUUAGCUAGUUGGAGGGGUAACGGCCCACCAAGGCGAUGAUCAGUAGCCGGUCUGAGAGGAUGAACGGCCACAUUGGGACUGAGACACGGCCCAGACUCCUACGGGAGGCAGCAGUGGGGAACCUUCCGCAAUGGACGAAAGUCUGACGGAGCAACGCCGCGUGAGUGAUGACGGCCUUCGGGUUGUAAAGCUCUGUUAAUCGGGACGAAAGGUCCUCUUGCGAAUAGUUAGAGGAAUUGACGGUACCGGAAUAGAAAGCCACGGCUAACUACGUG
RNAcentral lists this ribosomal RNA (510 nucleotides) under uncultured bacterium. Its description in RNAcentral is "partial 16S ribosomal RNA". It matches the Rfam family "Bacterial small subunit ribosomal RNA", at positions 28 to 507 of the family's 1533-position model. The record is from RNAcentral.